RNAcentral lists this ribosomal RNA (393 nucleotides) under uncultured bacterium. RNAcentral describes it as "partial 16S ribosomal RNA". It matches the Rfam family "Bacterial small subunit ribosomal RNA", at positions 523 to 918 of the family's 1533-position model. The record is from RNAcentral.
AUACGUAGGUGACAAGCGUUAUCCGGAUUUACUGGGCGUAAAGGGCGUGUAGGCGGUCUUGCAAGUCAGAAGUGGAAUUCCUGAGCUCAACUCGGGCGCUGCUUCUGAAACUGCAGGACUUGAGUGCUGGAGGGGAUAGCGGAAUUCCUAGUGGAGCGGUAAAAUGCGCAGAUAUUAGGAAGAACACCGGUGGCGAAGGCGGCUAUCUGGACAGUAACUGACGCUGAGGCGCGAAAGCGUGGGGAGCAAACAGGAUUAGAUACCCUGGUAGUCCACGCUAUAAACGAUGAGUGCUAGGUGUCGGGGGUCAAACCUCGGUGCCGCAGUUAACACAUUAAGCACUCCGCCUGGGGAGUACGGCCGCAAGGCUGAAACUCAAAUGAAUUGACGGGG